GUGCUUGCUUCCACAGCACAUAUACUAACAUUGGAACAAUACAGAGAUCAGCGUAGCCCCUGGGCAAGGAUGACAUGAAAACUGGUGAAGUAUCCAAUGUUAUA
Equus asinus (donkey) is the source of this 104-nucleotide small nuclear RNA. NCBI's taxonomy places the organism in Eukaryota, Metazoa, Chordata, Mammalia, Perissodactyla, Equidae. The record is from Ensembl.